AAGAAAAUCUUCCCUUUUAGGAGUUCCCAUCAUGGCUCAGCAGAAAUGAAUCUGACUAAUAUCCAUGAGGACGCAGGUUUGAUCCCUGGCCUUGCUCAGUGGGUUAAGGAUCCAGUGUUGCUAUGAGCUGUGGUCUAGGUCGAGGUUUUGGCUCAGAUUGUGCAUGGCUGUGGCUGUGGUGUAGGCUCAGAUUCGACCCCUAGCCUGGGAACUUCCAUAUGCCAUGGAUGUCGCCCGAAAAAAAAAAAAAAAGGAAAAAUAGAAAAACUUCCCUUUUGCUCCUGCGGCAGUAAUUCUCAUUUUCAGCUGUGGCUUAAUUUCUCUUUCUGUCUUUAAGUAUCUUUUUGAUUAACUGCAAAGUUUGAUGGAGACCAGUAGCAUAAUUAAAUCAGUGCAUAUUGUCAGCUGGGUCUUUCCUGAGCUGCUGAGAGGUUGCUAGGAAACUCUCUUAAAGGUACAAUUGCCUUAACUGCAAAACCCCAAAUGCCCAAAUAAUAUUUUUAUUAAUUCAUAAAAAUACAGGCAGGGAUUACAUUUAAAUUUAUAGCAAGAUGAGCACUACAUAUCUCUGGAUGCUUUCAGCUUUACAGAAAUGCAUUUAGAUCCACUUACAAAGAAUGUGCUUUGAAUAACAAUUUAGUGGUUGAGAAUUACUCACUUUUUUUAGGGAGAGUAUUUCUCUGUGUUAUACAACUUGUAUGGAUUUAGAACUGAAAGAAUUCUGAAUUUUAAAUUACCACUAGGAAAUACAGCUUGAUGGUGCCUAUAGUGCUUCAGAAACCCUAUUGUGGUUAUUAUGAUUAUUAUUUGUCAGUUUUUUCAAGUUCAUAAACGUGCCAUCAUCUCUGGUUGAUUUAACAAAACAAAAUCAAGAAACUUACAAAGAAAAACAACUUCAUCUGCAAUAGUUUGAUGUAACGUGGACAGUUGUUUCAGAGGUUAAGUUCUAGCCAGUGGCUUUAACUGAUUGACAUUUCUUCUAACAAUUGCUUUAUGGCUGCAAAUUAUUUUGAUAAAUCUACUCACUGCCCAUCAUCCAGGUGUUCAUUUAUUCAUUCAUUGAACAAGGGUUUGUGGACCUUCUCUUAUGUAAAUUGCAAUUUACUAGAAGUCAAGAGAAUUUUAAGAUGACAGUUCUAUACUAAUGUGGAGAAUGGAUUAAAACAUACAGGAAUUGCAAAUAAGAAGUAAUGAGAGAAUGACAUCACAAAGACGGUCCUUCCUGACUUGGCUCCUCUUCCCAAGAAGAACAACAGACAACUAUGCAUGUACAGACACCACUGAGAGACUAUCAGGACACAGGAGUUAGGCUGAGACACCUCCCGCCCCACACACACCCAGAGAGACUGCAGUGAAGGGUGAGGGGAACAGCGGCACACUGACUGCAAGGCCCUUUCCCAAGGCCAGCCCGGCACCACUCCCACGGCUCCUCCUGUGGCAAAAGAGGGCCCAGCAAUGACAUCCAGCACCACCAGCAGUUGUGGGUCACUUCCCGGGGAUCACAGGAGCACCUGCGGGCUCAACCACUGGGCAUCUGAUGGCGAUGGAGGAAGUAGGGGCGGGGUCUUCCAGCAAGCAGCAUUCAGAGCUGGGCAGACUGAGUGUCCACCUGCAGAGCUCCAGCAGGAAACCCAACCAGCAUCUCUGCUCACCUGCAGCCCCAUUUGGCGGCACAGUCUGGCGAGGAAACUCGGUGACCUGCAAGCCUACCUAAUUCAGGUCUUCAAAGGAAGAGAUCUGCCAGCCCAGGAGCCUGCUCCUGCCCAUUUCAGUGGCAGAGCUGAGUCACAGCCCCGCCGGCUGCAGGUCACAGGGGCUCUCAGCCCCUCCCAACCAGAAAGCCCCUGCAGGAAAAUGGGGCAGUUGCCUGAAGUGGGCUCUCCCAGUCCCACCCAGGAAGAAGUCUGGGUCAGAGCCCCCCCACCCAUGGAGUGUGGGCCCUAGACCCAUCUGACAGGAAGGGCUGACAAGAACACCUGGAAGCUGCACAACCCAGCAACUCCUGACCUGGCAGGAGGGCGGGAGAGUGGGCAGAACUGGUGGCCCCCAGAGCUGUCAGUAGCACUGUCCAGCCACUGAGAACUGGGGCACAGGCAGGCUUGAGUCCAGAGCACUCAUGGCCUUGGAGAUACUCAGUUGAUGAGUCUGAGAAGGGAAACUAAGUAUCCUAGCCCCACUUCCAGCUGAAGAUAGCCUUCAGCCCACUGACCAGGGACUGUAACAGGGCACAUGGGGAGCUGAGAGCCCAGCCAACAGCCCUGCUGACAGUGGCACUUGAACAGAGAGCCCAGCCGUGGCUUUCCCCGUCUGCGGGGCCAAACCCGUGGCCUCUCCUGACCAGGAUAUUCAGCCCACACGCUUGCCUGAGGUGGGUCCCCAAACAAUGAGCCACCCAGGCCCUGUGUCCAGUCCUGUGACCCCACCAGGGAUGGGAAGCUGAUUCCUAGCCCCACCUACUGCUGAGGACACUACCUGGUCCAGACUCUCUAGGAAUUUUGACCAGAGACUCCAGGCAAUAGCAAGGCCAUCCUAUAGGCUCACUUGGGCAGAGGACCAAGUCAGCAGUCCUAUCCGGCUGCUUCCAGCCAGCGGCACACCCCACCAGUCCCGGCCUCAGAACUCAAAUAGCUGCCUCGGCCAAAAACAGACCCUAAAAGCAGGCCCUGCUGCCCAGGGACGUGACCAGCAGAAACAUCCAGAAACCCAAAUUGAGCUGACUGGUGAAGAAGUGGUGAUACCAAAGCGAACCUGCAAAGUCAAAGUCAGGAAGUGGAUACCACUUACUCAAAUGCACGGAUAACCAAUGCAAGGAAUCAGGGAUCACACACACACACACACACACACACACACACAAUCAAAAAUCCUAGAGCUAAACAAUGCAUUAACUGAAGAAUUCAAUAGAGAGCUUCAAAAGCAUAUUCGACCAUGCAGAACCAGGAAUCAAAAAUCUGGAAGUAGGAAAGUAGGACUUUUGAAAUUAUCCACUGAGGGGAGCCAAAAAAAAAAAGGAAUGAAGAAAGCCUAUGAGACUUAUGGGACAAAAUAAAAAAAAAAAAUCCCAAUAUUCAAAUUAUGGGAAUUCCAAAAGAAGA
This 3092-nucleotide long non-coding RNA is filed under the name Sus scrofa (pig). RNAcentral's name for it is "lncRNA (ENSSSCG00055007528.1)". The record is from RNAcentral. Lineage: Eukaryota; Metazoa; Chordata; Mammalia; Artiodactyla; Suidae.